Molecule: ribosomal RNA, 473 nt
Filed under: uncultured bacterium
Lineage: Bacteria
Description: bacterial SSU rRNA
Rfam family: Bacterial small subunit ribosomal RNA
Source: RNAcentral
ACUCCUACGGGUGGCAGCAGUAGGGAAUCUUCCACAAUGGGCGCAAGCCUGAUGGAGCAACACCGCGUGAGUGAAGAAGGGUUUCGGCUCGUAAAGCUCUGUUGUUAAAGAAGAACACGUAUGAGAGUAACUGUUCAUACGUUGACGGUAUUUAACCAGAAAGUCACGGCUAACUACGUGCCAGCAGCCGCGGUAAUACGUAGGUGGCAAGCGUUAUCCGGAUUUAUUGGGCGUAAAGAGAGUGCAGGCGGUUUUCUAAGUCUGAUGUGAAAGCCUUCGGCUUAACCGGAGAAGUGCAUCGGAAACUGGAUAACUUGAGUGCAGAAGAGGGUAGUGGAACUCCAUGUGUAGCGGUGGAAUGCGUAGAUAUAUGGAAGAACACCAGUGGCGAAGGCGGCUACCUGGUCUGCAACUGACGCUGAGACUCGAAAGCAUGGGUAGCGAACAGGAUUAGAUACCCUGGUAGGAUAGCG